GACGAACGCUGGCGGCGGGCCUAAUACAUGCAAGUUGAGCGAUGAAGAUUGGUGCUUGCACCAAUUUGAAGAGCAGCGAACGGGUGAGUAACGCGUGGGGAAUCUGCCUUUGAGCGGGGGACAACAUUUGGAAACGAAUGCUAAUACCGCAUAACAACUUUAAACAUAAGUUUUAAGUUUGAAAGAUGCAAUUGCAUCACUCAAAGAUGAUCCCGCGUUGUAUUAGCUAGUUGGUGAGGUAAAGGCUCACCAAGGCGAUGAUACAUAGCCGACCUGAGAGGGUGAUCGGCCACAUUGGGACUGGGACACGGCCCAAGCUCCUACGGGAGGCAGCAGUAGGGAAUCUUCGGCAAUGGACGAAAGUCUGACCGAGCAACGCCGCGUGAGUGAAGAAGGUUUUCGGAUCGUAAAACUCUGUUGGUAGAGAAGAACGUUGGUGAGAGUGGAAAGCUCAUCAAGUGACGGUAACUACCCAGAAAGGGACGGCUAACUACGUG
Molecule: ribosomal RNA, 497 nt
Filed under: uncultured bacterium
Lineage: Bacteria
Description: partial 16S ribosomal RNA
Rfam family: Bacterial small subunit ribosomal RNA
Source: RNAcentral